This 433-nucleotide ribosomal RNA is filed under the name uncultured bacterium. Its description in RNAcentral is "partial 16S ribosomal RNA". It matches the Rfam family "Bacterial small subunit ribosomal RNA", at positions 29 to 507 of the family's 1533-position model. The record is from RNAcentral.
AACGAACGCUGGCGGCAUGCCUAACACAUGCAAGUCGAACGAAGUCUUCGGACUUAGUGGCGCACGGGUGCGUAACGCGUGGGAAUCUGCCCUUGGGUACGGAAUAACUCAGAGAAAUUUGUGCUAAUACCGUAUAAUGUCUUCGGACCAAAGAUUUAUCGCCCAAGGAUGAGCCCGCGUAAGAUUAGCUAGUUGGUGGGGUAAAAGCCUACCAAGGCGACGAUCUUUAGCUGGUCUGAGAGGAUGAUCAGCCACACUGGGACUGAGACACGGCCCAGACUCCGACGGGAGGCAGCAGUGGGGAAUAUUGGACGAUGGGCGAAGGCCUGAUCCAGCAAUGCCGCGUGAGUGAUGAAGGCCCUAGGGUUGUAAAGCUCUUUGACCAGGGAUGAUAAUGACAGUACCUGGAGAAUAAGCUCCGGCUAACUCCGUG